GAAAGUAGGAAAGGGCGCAUGGCGGAUGCCUUGGCUCACACUGGCGAAGAAGGACGUGAUAAGCUGCGAAAAGCUCCGGGGAGAUGCAAAUAAUCCUUGAUCCGGAGAUGUCCGAAUGGGAGAACCCAGACAGCGGAAGACUGUCUGCCGGAAGCUUUACGCUUCCGGCGCCAACCCGGGGAACUGAAACAUCUUAGUACCCGGAGGAAGAGAAAAUAAACAAUGAUUCCCCAAGUAGUGGCGAGCGAACGGGGAAGAGCCCAAACCGCGUGCGUAGCAAUGCGCGUGCGGUGUAGUAGGACCACGAUGUCAUAUGCAUCAGGGGAGCCGGACCGGCCGGACAGCCGGACCACAGAGGGUGAUAGUCCCGUAGGCGAAUCCCGGUGCAGUGUAGUGGUAUCCUGAGUAGCGCGGAGCACGAGAAAUUCUGCGUGAAUCUGCCGGGACCAUCCGGUAAGGCUAAAUACAGUGUGAGACCGAUAGUGAACCAGUACUGUGAAGGAAAGGUGAAAAGCACCCCGAUCAAGGGGAGUGAAAGAGUUCCUGAAACCAUGCGCCUACAAGCGGUCGGAGCCGUGCGAGCGGUGACGGCGUGCCUUUUGCAUAAUGAACCUACGAGUUGCCGUCUCCGGCAAGGUUAACCGGUUUAUCCGGGGAGCCGCAGUGAAAGCGAGCCUGAACAGGGCGCAGAGUCGGAGGAGGCAGACGCGAAACCAAGUGAUCUACACUUGUCCAGGAUGAAGUGCCGGUAACACGGUAUGGAGGUCCGAACGAAUAAGCGUUGAAAAGCUUCUCGAUGAGAUGAGUGUAGGAGUGAAAGGCCAAUCAAACUUGGAGAUAGCUCGUACUCCCCGAAAGGCAUUUAGGUGCCGCGUGUAUUGAUCCGCAUGAGAGGUAGAGCGACCGAUAGGUCAAGAGGGCUUCACCGCCUAUCGAGACCUGACGAACUCCGAAUGCUCAUGAGUAGCAGAUAUGCAGUAAGGGGGCGGGUGCUAAGGUCCGUCCCCGAGAGGAGAAGAAUCCGGACCGUCGUCUAAGGUCCCGAAAUUCCGGCUAAGUUAGUCUAACGAAGUGUGGUCCCUGUGACAGCUAGGAUGUUGGCUUGGAAGCAGCCAUUCAUUCAAAGAGUGCGUAACAGCUCACUAGUCGAGGGUCCGUGCAUGGAUAAUAAUCGGGUAUAAGCCGGAUACCGAAGUCACGGGAUAGAAUUAAAGAAAGUAUCGGUAGGGGAGCAUUCCAGCGGCGUUGAAUACGUUCCGGAAGGAGCGUUGGAGCUUCUGGAAAAGCAAAUGUAGGUAUAAGUAACGAUUAGAAGGGUGAGAACCCCUUCCGCCAAAAGUCUAAGGGUUCCCGGGCAAUGCCAGUCAUCCCGGGGUCAGUCAGGUCCUAAGCCGAAUCCGAAAGGAGGAGGCGAUGGCAGAAACGGUCAACAUUCCGUUACUGCCCCAGUGAGCGAAGCGUAGACGGAGGAGUGAAACGGCCGCGGAGUUACGGAAUACUCCGUUGAAGGGUGUAGGUUAUGAGGAAUCCAGGCAAAUCCGGAUACCGAGCCGAACCUGAAAGUAUGGAAGUCCCUCCGGGGGCAUCCAAUAGCGCCGGUAAGCAGACUCCCGGGAAAAUGCGCUAAGCAUAUUGCUGGGGCACCUGUACCGCAAACCGACACAGGUAGACGGGUAGAAUAUACUGAGGCGUUGAGAGAUUCAUGGUUAAGGAACUAGGCAAACUGACCCUGUAACUUCGGGAAAAAGGGUCCUCUCCUCCGGGAGAGGCGCAGUGGAUAGGUCCAGGCAACUGUUUAACAAAAACACAGGGCUGUGCGAAUUCGAAAGAAGAAGUAUACAGCCUGACACCUGCCCGGUGCCGGAAGGUUAAGAGGAGUCGUCACUCCGCAAGGAGGAAGCGUCGAAUUGAAGCCCCGGUAAACGGCGGCCGUAACUAUAACGGUCCUAAGGUAGCGAAAUUCCUUGUCGGGUAAGUUCCGACCUGCACGAAUGGUGUAACGAUCUGGGCACUGUCUCAACCGUGAGCUCGGUGAAAUUGUAGUAUCGGUGAAGAUGCCGAUUACCCGCGAUGGGACGAAAAGACCCCGUGAACCUUUACUAUAGCUUAGCAUUGAUCCCGGUCAUCCGAUGUGUAGGAUAGGCCGGAGGCUGUGAUGGUGCGGCGCCAGCCGUACCGGAGCCACCGUUGAAAUACGGCCCUUUGGCUGUCUGGGGUCUAACGCGCAGAAAGCGCGGACAUUGCUUGGUGGGUAGUUUGACUGGGGUGGUCGCCUCCAAAAGCGUAACGGAGGCUU
RNAcentral lists this ribosomal RNA (2296 nucleotides) under fermentation metagenome. Its description in RNAcentral is "bacterial LSU rRNA". It matches the Rfam family "Bacterial large subunit ribosomal RNA", at positions 1 to 2309 of the family's 2925-position model. The record is from RNAcentral.